Oncorhynchus keta (chum salmon) is the source of this 1257-nucleotide RNA transcript. RefSeq lists it as uncharacterized. The record is from RefSeq and is a predicted model, not a curated record. NCBI's taxonomy places the organism in Eukaryota, Metazoa, Chordata, Actinopteri, Salmoniformes, Salmonidae. The transcript has 10 exons.
AGAGAUCAGAAUAACAAAUAAUGAAUUAAAGAGCAGCGGUAAACAACAAUAGCGAGGCUUUAUACAGGAGGUACCAGUACAGAGUCAAUGUGGAGGUUAUAUACAGGAGGUACCAGUACAGAGUCAAUGUGGAGGUUAUAUACAGGAGGUACCAGUACAGAGUCAAUGUGGAGGUUAUAUACAGGAGGUACCAGUACAGAGUCAAUGUGGAGGUUAUAUACAGGAGGUACCAGUACAGAGUCAAUGUGGAGGUUAUAUACAGGAGGUACCAGUACAGAGUCAAUGAGGAGGUUAUAUACAGGAGGUACCAGUACAGAGUCAAUGAGGAGGUUAUAUACAGGAGGUACCAGUACAGAGUCAAUGUGGAGGUUAUAUACAGGAGGUACCAGUACAGAGUCAAUGUGGAGGUUAUAUACAGGAGGUACCAGUACAGAGUCAAUGAGGAGGUUAUAUACAGGAGGUACCAGUACAGAGUCAAUGUGGAGGUACCAGUACAGAGUCAAUGUGGAGGCUAUAUACAGGAGGUACCAGUACAGAGUCAAUGUGGAGGUUAUAUACAGGAGGUACCAGUACAGAGUCAAUGUGGAGGCUUUAUACAGGAGGUACCAGUACAGAGUCAAUGUGGAGGCUUUAUACAGGAGGUACCAGUACAGAGUCAAUGUGGAGGCUAUAUACAGGAGGUACCAGUACAGAGUCAAUGUGGAGGUUAUAUACAGGAGGUACCAGUACAGAGUCAAUGUGGAGGCUAUAUACAGGAGGUACCAGUACAGAGUCAAUGUGGAGGCUAUAUACAGGAGGUACCAGUACAGAGUCAAUGUGGAGGUUAUAUACAGGAGGUACCAGUACAGAGUCAAUGUGGAGGCUUUAUACAGGAGGUACCAGUACAGAGUCAAUGUGGAGGCUUUAUACAGGAGGUACCAGUACAGAGUCAAUGUGGAGGCUUUAUACAGGAGGUACCAGUACAGAGUCAAUGUGGAGGCUUUAUACAGGAGGUACCAGUACAGAGUCAAUGUGGAGGCUUUAUACAGGAGGUACCAGUAGAGAGUCAAUGUGGAGGUUAUAUACAGGAGGUACCAGUACAGAGUCAAUGUGGAGGCUUUAUACAGGAGGUACCAGUACAGAGUCAAUGUGGAGGCUUUAUACAGGAGGUACCAGUACAGAGUCAAUGUGGAGGUUAUAUACAGGAGGUACCAGUACAGAGUCAAUGUGGAGGCUUUAUACAGGAGGUACCAGUACAGAGUCAAUGUGGAGGUUAUA